GGCCUUUCAGCCAUCUUGGAAUUUGUAUGUAAACAAUCUGCAAUAUUUUGCAAUAUCUUUUUUUUGCUCUUUGUGUGUGGAAUUGUAUUGGUGGGAAUAAGAGCAUUGAAAAGUUGAAAGCUCAAGAGAAUAAAUCGACUCUCAGUGUCGGUUGGUGAUGGAGAUAUUUUACCCGCGUUUUGCAGCUAGAGACGUCGGUUAAUCGUUCGAUUAAUUCAAAUAAUCGAAUAUCUGUAACAGUAAUUUUAUACCAAAUAAUGAAAAAUCAAG
Long non-coding RNA from Toxorhynchites rutilus septentrionalis, 270 nucleotides. RefSeq lists it as uncharacterized. Lineage: Eukaryota; Metazoa; Arthropoda; Insecta; Diptera; Culicidae. The transcript is spliced from 2 exons. The record is from RefSeq and is a predicted model, not a curated record.